Non-coding RNA from Osmia lignaria (orchard mason bee), 3236 nucleotides. Lineage: Eukaryota; Metazoa; Arthropoda; Insecta; Hymenoptera; Megachilidae. The record is from RefSeq and is a predicted model, not a curated record.
UCCAGGGAAGUUGAAGCCAACCGGAAGACCACUCGUUAAUGUAGAGGGAUGAUUCACUUCGCUCGUGCACUAAUUAACCACCGGUACACUUCAAUUAAAACGCGUUGUUUCAAUAAAAAUAAUUGGAAAAUACAAUCACACGCGAUACUGUAAGUAGCGCGUCUACGACGAAAGACGGGACACGAUUGGUUUUAAAUACAGGAUAUCAACAUCGUGAAGUCGCGACGAGGCUCGAAGGCCGAGGUUGUUUUUGUUUUGGUUUCGGUUUCGGUUUCGACUCGAAGGCUUGUUAUCCGCAUUCCAACGCCACGGAUUAAUUCAGUUACCCGACGACGAACGAUAAGAGAAGACGUAUUGAUAAUUAAUAAAUCUUUGGGAGGUUAGGAACUCCCCACGAAGUUACUUUCGGCGAUCCCCUCGUGUUUCGAGAGGCUUGGUAAGUUUGUGAUUUUUGAUUCACUGUUUGCGAGUAAAAAAUACCGUUUAUUGAUACUUAACACUUUUAUUGACCGUAUAUAUGAAUCACAAAGAAAGGGGUUGCGGGUAUAGGCACGCGACGCGCGGAGACAAUACGGAAAUAAUGGCGCCAAAUUGAGAUGCAACCAUCUUCAGGGCACCGGAUCGGUUGCCGCGCGCUGAUUGGCUCUCGGCUAGGGAACUAUGGGUAGCCAGCGAAUAAAAAAAUUAAAACAUACCUCCCUAGCGAUCAAACGACCUGGUCGAUGCAAAAUCCGAUACAAUAAUACUGUAGCGAAUCUACUUUAAUAAAGAGAAAAAAUUCGAAUUCGAAUCAGCCGGAACGUCGACAGUCGCAGCCAGUGAUCCCAAGGGAGGGAAAAAAGUCGACGAAGAAAGACGAACCCUUUCGACACGAGGAUUUUCCGGCGGCCAGGGUGGAUUGCAAAUUACAAGCUGGCGAAAUAUUAACAGGAAAUGCCAGGCUGCAUGGCGAGAGGCAUCAAAAUUUCAUGACGAGAAUCGAGUACCGAGGCUUUGCUUAUGGAAUAAUUAAUACGAUCGAAAUGUACGAUUCAACGAUAGCCGGAGAUUAUUUUUCCAUAACGCAUUUCGUUUGAGUGAAAUGAAAUUUCUGGAUACGUUCAUUAAGUCAGGUAAUGUUUACGUGGACACGUACACGCACAGGUAAAUCCACAUUAAAUAUUCAAUAACAGACAGGGACGGCUUUUUCCAGUCUGAGUAUGAUUCGACUGAACUCUUUGAGUGCAUGCAUCUAGCAAAUCCGAAAAUCCGAUUUACUGCGGCAGGUAGCCCGGAACAAGGGCGAACCGAAAAUGCAAUUUCGCGAGCUUUUACCUAAUAUUAUGACCGCGUACUCGUGCCUAGCGUAUUCCCAGAAAAUAUGGAAAGAGGACUUUACUCUUAUCCUUUUCCUCUUUACGCGCCUCUUUGUCUGUGUAAAUUCGCACCGCAAAAUGUAACCACGCGUCUGGCGGGAACGGUAUGAAAGGUUAAAUACACACGUUGAACGUUGACGAAUGAGACUUUGAUGCCUUUUCCUGCUUUUUUUAACAACUAAAGGACGCGAAACGGAAUAGCGAAAAAGGAUUCUAAGCUCUUUGCGUGAAACAUCAAUUUUUGUUGAAAUGCAAACAGCAAAGGGUGUCGUAUUGAUUUUUGUAUAAAUCCUGUGUUUUACAACUAAAUCGAACUGCAUGUUUCCUCUGGAAACAGUGCCGGUCCUAUUUUCGAAACUUAUUUGAACCUCGAAGAGAAAUCAAUUUCAACUUUUACACCUUUUUCUCUAUUAUCCUACUUUUCCAUGAUUUCAUCGGUCUGAUAGUUUUUCCGACACAGAAACGGUGUAAUAGCAAUUUCUUUGCUAGACGCACGCGGUGUGUAUAAGAGGCAGACGUCGUCAGGCAGUUACAUUUUUGCGAGAUACGAGAAGCCGGAGGAGAAUUCAGGUUUUUGCCGGGAAAGGGAGAGACAAGGGGUAAGAUCGAUAGAAAAGAGGGAACAAGAUUUCACGAGGCAAAGAAUAUCUCGAUUCAUUUUUUACGACGCUCCCGACCCUACGACAUUCUUGACAAAGGUAAAGCGUGUCAAUCGCAGAAGUAAUAUCUGAAAGUAGGGUAAGAUAUAAGAAGUAGCUGUGGGGGGGAUGAAAGGUGUAAAAACGUGGGCGAGAUCGUGUGCCUCGUGUCGGGGUAAUCUACAUGAAAAAUUUCCAAUUUCAUCCAUGCCAUCUAUCGAAGAUGGGUCAGCAAAAAAGCGUCGAUAUCCGAAUAGCAAAAAUUCAUUUUUCCCGCGCGAAACAUUAUGGUCACUUUAUCGUUGACCGCCGAUAUAUCCCAGAACGAUGAGAAAGAAUUUAAUCUAACCAUUAAACUAUCCGAGCUGUCGAUGAAUAUUUCGUCAGAAAUUCCUUGGCAAAACCGGAGAGCCUGAGUAGCUGGCUGCCUAGAUAGAUAACACGUGAAAUUCACGGUUUGCUUGCUAUUGAUACGAGGAAAAACUGGAGCAUCGCUUAUUGAAUUGCCGCGAGGUCGUUCGAUGAGCAUUGCUCGAUACUAAAACCGAAACUUCAGUCUUCCCACUAAGCAGAUGGAACUACCUAGAUGCAGGAAAUGAAGUGGAACUUAACGUUCGAGGGAACGAGCGAAGUGAUCUCGAAGGAUCUUAAUGAACCGAAGAGGAAAUCUAUGAUAUAGUGUAUGUAUGUCCUCGGUAUUCAUUAAUUCUUUUCGCCUGACACGUCUCUCUAUUGAUACCAGAUUUUCUAUACGACGGCUUUUAACGCAAAUCGAUUCGACGAAAUGGAAUAUUUCAAAGGAAAUUCAUUUCCACGGUUAAUAUGAUGCAAUUUUUGUUCAGAAUUUUCUGUGAAAAUGUUCGACAGACGUGUGGCAGUUUAAACGUUUGACGUUUAAUGAACGACGAAUACCAGGUAACAUGCCCGGAGAACUAUUCGUGAAAUUGACUCGAGAGUGGUUGGGAACUCGUAACGUUGAAACGUUAUAAUAUUUUUAUAGUCGGUUUUUACGCUGGAUCGAACAAAAGCGAUCCAUUUGCUUGUACUAGACUUUGUUACGAUUACAAAGGGAUACGUAUUGUCAGAUGUCAUUCCAUGAGUUUUCAAAUACAACUGAUUUCCAAAGAAAAUGGAACGGUGCAUGUUACACCGCCAUUUUGUAUAACAUGUAUAUUGAUCCUUUCUCUUAAAAAAGUAGAAAAUGUAAUAUAAUGCGUAUUUUACAUAAUAAACUAUAAUUCUG